UGGGCGCACUUUUUCACUUUUUUGGCGCCACUUUCGGCUGUGCAAAAUGCUUUUGUUUGUAUUAUUUAUUUCUUUGGAAUUUACGCAAAAAUUAUUAAUUUUGUACUAAAAUGGAUGACCUCACUAGACUAAAAAGGAAGAUUACCAGCUCGUUCAAGCUAAGCGGCUUUCUUAUACGUUCGGAGAAUAGCGCAUAUUUGGCCGAGCAGCUCCUGCCAUUUGAUGAGGCUGAACGGGAGAAGUGGCUGACGGUGAUCACAGAAAAUUUGCAAGGCCAGCGUUUGCAAACGACACAAGUGGAAAGAGGAGUACUUGAAAAAGCUAUAAAUGAAAUUAAUCGCGUGGGCCUGGAUGAGGGCGAGACAGUCUUUACGCUUAUUGAUGCAUUCAAAGUGCCACGCUACCAUUACAAUACCCAAAGCAAGAAAUUCGAAUUGAAUCGAGAUCCGCGUUGCAUUCUCACACAACCAGCGAUGAAAUCAGGAUAUUUGCGUGAACGUUAUGCCAUGCUGUUGCAAAAGACUCUGCGGCAUGAGUUAUUUGCACCACCUAUAAUAGAGGGUGGCGUUUCAACGGAAUCGCAGGUAAAAAAGUUUAAAUUGCAGUAUGCAGAAAAUUUGCUUGCGUCAUCCUCGGUAAAGGAAGCAGUGGUACUCGGGUUGCUGACACAGUUAAAAGAAGGAAAAUUUUACAUAGAAGAUCCUACAGGUUGCCUUGAGCUGGACUUGUGCGGAACGCGCUUUCAUUCAGGUUUCUUCUGUGAGGGCUGCUUUGUGUUGGCUGAAGGUUCAUAUAACAAUGGCGUUCUCAAAGUUGAUGGCCUGGGUUUUCCGCCAGCUGAACCCGCUACUAGUUCACGAGCAUUUUUUGGAACACAAAACAGUUGGGGUGGCGAGUCUUCAAAAUUGUUGAAAUAUUCCAUAAGGCUGGAAGAAUUGGAGAGUACCAACACUGAAGCUACGCUUGUGUUUCUGUCGGAUGUGCGUCUAGAUAAUCCUGUUGUUUUAGAACGCUUACGCAUGCUAUUUGUUGGCUACGAUUCCUGUCCACCUGUAGCAAUAGUGCUAAUGGGUUCGUUCGCUGCUACCAAUAGUAAUUAUCAUACAUUGUCGCAAAAUUUGACUGCUCUGGGCGCAUUAGCUGCGGGAUGUGAUCAGUUGAAGAAGCAAACGGAUCUGAUAUUAGUACCGUCUUGUGAAGAUCCUACAGCACCGAAUAUUUUACCACGUGCCACCCUACCUGAAUCACUUGCGACGGGUUUGCGCAAAGCAUGGCCGCGUACAUUGCUCGCGACCAACCCUUGUCGUCUGCAAUAUUGUACACAACAGAUUGUUGUUUGUCGUUUGGACUUGAUGGCUAAGUUCUGUCGUAAUACGUUACAUUUUCCACCCGAUACUGAUAAUAUCGAACAACAUUUUGCACGCACACUAGUAUGCCAGAACCAUGUGACUCCCAUACAUCCGAUUGCCAUGCCAGUGCAUUGGGACUAUGAUGCCGCUUUGUGGUUAUAUCCGCUGCCCGAUUUGGUAGUUAUAGGUGACUCGUGCCAGAGUUUCGCAACAACUCAACACGGUUGUACUGUGCUAAACACAGGAUCUUUUGUUAAAUCGAAAUUUGCAUUUAAAGUUUAUAUACCGGCGACGCGCACUAUUGAGGAUUCGGAAAUUCCAGAUGAUAUGACAAUGGAAUAAGCAAAUUCUUAUUUUAUGUUGUGAUAAGCAAAAUUGUACUCUUUAUGUUACUUACUAGAAUUUUUAUAACUAAAACUCAUGCGGCUCUCAACAGCUUGUGCACUUGACCGAGAAACUAAAUUAGAUAUCUACGUGGUUUCGAAUUCGAUUUACGAGCGAUUCUAAAACAGCGCAUGCGUGAGAAAUACAAAAGAGAAGAGUAUAGUAUUUUGACUGCAGAUUUAUACUACAAUACAUUGGAGGCGGAGUCAGUUGGAGUAAAGAAAGUGAUCCAAUAGCAAAUUCAAAAUGGAGAUUUUACGAAAGAAAGAAGACCCCAACUUCUCUAUGACCCACUAGGGAGUUUAACAUUUAGAGCCCGCAGUACAUUGCACGACUGACAGAGGAAAUUGAUUGGAGGAGAGCAAUGAAGCGAGCAUAACGUGGGAUUCAGAACAUUUAGAUAGAUGGAGCCUUGGGGUUAUGCGCUGUAAAGGAGGUCGAGGGCCACAGUUUCAUACAACGGGAAAAUGGUUUUUGCGCUGAGGAAAGGCAACCAGCUCUGCGAAAUUUUGGUAGCUCGGACUACAUAAAUAUUUCACAAACGUACCAUGUAUUGUAGGAGUCCCCCGCUUUGGAGCGUUUGGGCGCCAUAUGUACAUAUGUAUGUCGUGUAAGUAUGCGGACAGACGUGCUGCUGUUGCCUGGCUUCUGUUGCGAUAUGGAUGGCGAUAUCGCUUGCAGGCAACAUACGUGUGUAUUCGCAACAACAUGUGUGAUGUGUGGCAAUCCGUAUGGACGAUCUCUUGGCGUGCACAUAUGUAAACCACAUACGAUACGAC
Rhagoletis pomonella (apple maggot) is the source of this 2512-nucleotide RNA transcript. It is a transcript of the gene named DNA polymerase epsilon subunit 2, with no coding region annotated. The record is from RefSeq and is a predicted model, not a curated record. NCBI's taxonomy places the organism in Eukaryota, Metazoa, Arthropoda, Insecta, Diptera, Tephritidae. The transcript has 4 exons.